GAUGAACGCUGGCGGCGUGCCUAAUACAUGCAAGUCGAGCGAACGGACGAUAAGCUUGUUUUUCUGAUGUUAGCGGCGGACGGGUGAGUCACACGUGUAUCACCUACCUGUAUUUCUGGGAUAACUUCGGGACACCGGCUCUAAUACCGGAUAAUAUUUUGAACCGCAUGGUUCAAAAGUGAAAGACGGUCUUGCUGUCACUUAUAGCUGGAUCCGCGCUGCAUUAGCUAGUUGUUAAGGUAACGGCUUACCAAGGCGACGAUGCAUAGCCGACCUGAGAGGGGGAUAGGCGACCCUGGAACUGAGACACGGUCCAGAGUCCUAAGGGAGGCAGCAGUAGGGAAUGUUACGCAAUGGGCGGAAGCAUGACGGAGCAACGGCGCGUGAGUGAUGGAGGUCUUCGGUUCGUAAAGCUCUGUUAUUGGGGAAGAACAGAUGUGUAAGUAACUGUGCACAGCUUGACGGUACCUAAUCAGAAAGCCACGGCUAACUACGUG
RNAcentral lists this ribosomal RNA (497 nucleotides) under uncultured bacterium. RNAcentral describes it as "partial 16S ribosomal RNA". It matches the Rfam family "Bacterial small subunit ribosomal RNA", at positions 28 to 507 of the family's 1533-position model. The record is from RNAcentral.